AUUGAACGCUGGCGGCAGGCCUAACACAUGCAAGUCGAGCGGAUGAAGGGAGCUUGCUCCUGGAUUCAGCGGCGGACGGGUGAGUAAUGCCUAGGAAUCUGCCUGGUAGUGGGGGAUAACGUCCGGAAACGGGCGCUAAUACCGCAUACGUCCUGAGGGAGAAAGUGGGGGAUCUUCGGACCUCACGCUAUCAGAUGAGCCUAGGUCGGAUUAGCUAGUUGGUGGGGUAAAGGCCUACCAAGGCGACGAUCCGUAACUGGUCUGAGAGGAUGAUCAGUCACACUGGAACUGAGACACGGUCCAGACUCCUGCGGGAGGCAGCAGUGGGGAAUAUUGGACAAUGGGCGGAAGCCUGAUCCAGCCAUGCCGCGUGUGUGAAGAAGGUCUUCGGAUUGUAAAGCACUUUAAGUUGGGAGGAAGGGCAGUAAGUUAAUACCUUGCUGUUUUGACGUUACCAACAGAAUAAGCACCGGCUAACUUCGUG
Molecule: ribosomal RNA, 484 nt
Filed under: uncultured bacterium
Lineage: Bacteria
Description: partial 16S ribosomal RNA
Rfam family: Bacterial small subunit ribosomal RNA
Source: RNAcentral